CCUACGGGAGGCAGCAGUGGGGAAUAUUGCGCAAUGGGGGCAACCCUGAUGCAGCAACGCCGCGUGAUUGAAGAAGGCCUUCGGGUUGUAACGAUCUUUAAUCGGGGACGAAUUUUGACGGUAUCCUAAGCAUAAGCUCCGGCUAACUACGUACCAGCAGCCGCGGUUAUCCGGAGGGCGCAAGCGUUAUCCGGAUUUACUGGGUGUAAAGGGAUUGUAGGCGGGCGUGCAAGCCAGAAGUGAAAUUUGGGGGCUGAACCCCGAAACUGCUUUUGGGACUGCGUGUCUUGAGUGAUGGAGAGGCAGGCGGAAUUCCCAGUGUAGCGGUGAAAUGCGUAGAGAUUGGGAGGAACACCAGUGGCGAAGGCGGCCUGCUGGACAAUAACUGACGCUGAGGCGCGAAAGCGUGGGGAGCAAACAGGAUUAGAUACCCCAGUAGUC
Molecule: ribosomal RNA, 441 nt
Filed under: uncultured bacterium
Lineage: Bacteria
Description: partial 16S ribosomal RNA
Rfam family: Bacterial small subunit ribosomal RNA
Source: RNAcentral